This 178-nucleotide ribosomal RNA is filed under the name uncultured bacterium. RNAcentral describes it as "partial 16S ribosomal RNA". It matches the Rfam family "Bacterial small subunit ribosomal RNA", at positions 354 to 529 of the family's 1533-position model. The record is from RNAcentral.
GGAGGGAAUAUUGGGACAAUGGGUGAGAGCCUGAUCCAGCCAUCCCGCGUGAAGGAUGACGGCCCUAUGGGUUGUAAACUUCUUUUGUAUAGGGAUAAACCUACCCACGUGUAUCUAGCUGAAGGUACUAUACGAAUAAGCACCGGCUAACUCCGUGCCAGCAGCCGCGGUAAUUGAA